GAGAGAGACAUGCGCGCAUAUCAAUAAGCGGAGGAAAAGAAACUAACAAGGAUUCCCCUAGUAACGGCGAGUGAAGCGGGAAGAGCUCAAAUUUGAAAUCUUAAAGGGUUUCCCUUUACGAAUUGUAGUUUAAAGAAGUGUUUUCUGUUGAGGUUUUGGUAAAAGUUCUUUGGAAUAGGACAUCAUAGAGGGUGAGAAUCCCGUAUUUGACCUUUACUUUCAACUUUGUGAUACACUUUCAAAGAGUCGGAUUGUUUGGGAAUGCAGUCCAAAAUGGGUGGUAAAUUUCAUCUAAAGCUAAAUACUGGCGAGAGACCGAUAGCGAACAAGUACCGUGAAGGAAAGAUGAAAAGAACUUUGAAAAGAGAGUUAAACAGUACGUGAAAUUGUCAAAAGGGAAGCGUUUGACACCAGUGUUGUUUUUCUGAAAAUCAAUUAAAGAACUGUUUAUGCUAAGUUGUUUAGACUUUAUCAGCUAACUGUUUAGUUUUGAGCUUUUCUUUAAUGCACUUUUCAGUUAACAAGUCAACAUCAAUUUCUUUUGCUGUAAAAAAGCUUGAGGAAGGUGGCUUGAGAUUCGUCUUAAGUGUUUAUAGCCUCUUGCCUAUGCAGUCGGAGAGAUUGAGGUCUGCAGCGUAGAUCCUUCGGGGCUAAAUGCAUUUGUGCUAAGUUAUAGCAUUUUAUAGACAACUUGUUGACUAUGAUUUGUCUUGUAGCUUACUCGCUUAUGUUAUUUUACCUACGCUUAGGAUGUUGAGCGCAUGUCUCUCUCU
RNAcentral lists this ribosomal RNA (773 nucleotides) under uncultured Neocallimastigales. RNAcentral's name for it is "partial large subunit ribosomal RNA". It matches the Rfam family "Eukaryotic large subunit ribosomal RNA", at positions 23 to 616 of the family's 3401-position model. The record is from RNAcentral. Lineage: Eukaryota; Fungi; Neocallimastigomycota; Neocallimastigomycetes; Neocallimastigales.